RNAcentral lists this ribosomal RNA (431 nucleotides) under uncultured bacterium. RNAcentral's name for it is "bacterial SSU rRNA". It matches the Rfam family "Bacterial small subunit ribosomal RNA", at positions 335 to 755 of the family's 1533-position model. The record is from RNAcentral.
ACUCCUACGGGAGGCAGCAGUGGGGAAUAUUGCACAAUGGGCGCAAGCCUGAUGCAGCCAUGCCGCGUGUAUGAAGAAGGCCUUCGGGUUGUAAAGUACUUUCAGCAGUGAGGAAGGCAGGUACGUUAAUAGCGUGCUUGUUGUACGUUAGCUGCAGAAGAAGCACCGGCUAACUCCGUGCCACGCGAGCCGCGGUAAUACGGAGGGUGCGAGCGUUAAUCGGAUUACUGGCGUAAAGCGCAUGCAGGUGGUUUGUUAAGUCAGAUGUGAAAGCCCGGGCGUCAACCUCCGGAAUUGCAUUUGAAACUGGCAGACUAGAGUACUGGUAGAGGGGGGUAGAAUUUCAGGUGUAGCGGUGAAAUGCGUAGAGAUCUGAAGGAAUACCGGUGGCGAAGGCGGCCCCCGUGGACAGAUACUGACACUCAGAUGCG